This is a long non-coding RNA of Diorhabda sublineata, 8739 nucleotides long. RefSeq lists it as uncharacterized. The transcript has 3 exons. Lineage: Eukaryota; Metazoa; Arthropoda; Insecta; Coleoptera; Chrysomelidae. The record is from RefSeq and is a predicted model, not a curated record.
GUCUGAGUCUGACUCUAAGGGAAGGCAUGGUAGGGGAAAUUAAAUCGACUGAAGCGUUCGCAGUGGUCACUUUGAGCAUUACGAGAGGCUAUUAUAACCGAAAUUAUAAACAAAUACACGUUAAAAUUUUUUGUUUGUUUCAAUUAUAAUAAAUUAAAUAAAAAUGGGUCACCAUGGAAAAUAAAUCAACGGAAACGGUGGAUAGCUGCAGUUAAAAGGUUCAAGUAAGUAGUACCUUAACCUUAUUGUUAUCAAAAAUAAUAAUUCGGAGUAUUGUAAAUCUUUUUCUUUGUUAUAAUUUUCCAUUUUUAAACCAUAUCUAGUUGAACUGCUGUCAUAAAACUUUUGUAUUAUGAACGUUAGAACUUGCAGAAAUUUUUAAGCGUCUAGCUUGAAACCAAUUGUUACAAGAAGAUUGCUUAACAGUUUCACAAGACAAAUUAUCUAUUCCAUCUUCCGAUAAUUACACGUUUUUCAAAUAAAACUCUCGGUGGUUUGUAUCCAGUUCAUACUCACUUUCAUAAAUAAAAUACUCUUCGAAAAAAAUUAAGAAAUUAUUGACACAUGCAGCACAUUUUUCUUUUUCUAAAUUCAAUUCUAUUUGGGUCAACAGAGAAUUGAUGACAUUUCUUACUUUAUGUUCAUUAUUUUUUGUCAAUUGUGAAACGUUCUGAAGUUGAUGUAAUCUAAUGUACUUAUAUACGUUUAAUGCAUUCUGUUAUAUAUUUUAUCAUUAUACUUACUUGUGUUUUUGGCUUGUUCAAGAUAAUUAUAAAAUUGUAGUAAGUAUUAGAUUGUCACAAUUUUUUUGACGACUAAUUUAUUACUAUUUAUUAUACUUUUUUCCAAAAUUUUUCCGUUUACUAUUGAAAAAGUAUGCAGUAUGCAGCAUGUCCGGAAUUGAAUAUUAUUGUUAGAAUAGAAGUCGUUUACAUAGUAGAAGGCACUUUCCAGUAAAUUUGCUUUCAAAUUAUUGCUGAAUGCGGAAAAAGAUAAUAUCGAUUUGAUUUCAAUUGGCAAGUGAUUGUGCAAUUUUUUGCAUUGUAAAAUAUUGAGCCAUUAACUAAUUCUGAACGUGGAGUAGGUAGGACUUUUUAAUCUUUCGCAGAAGUCCCUGCAGUGAGCCCGGCUGUUUAGUUCGAGUAAAUAUCUAACAGUUCUCGUUUGUAGUUUGAAGAUUCACUCACAUUGAGUCGCACCACACGUACUCCAGAAGGGAAGCGCAUAUCGAAGAUGCGAUUCAAUAAGGGCAUAAUAAACUAUUAAGGAGGUGGUUCUUUGGAAACUGAUUUCAGCGAAACACAGGAGGAACUUAAUUUUUUAGAUAAGGUGGCAAUAUAAACUCCCAUUUCUAGGAAUUGUCCACAACAAGCACUAAGAAUUUUACGACGACGUCAAUUUUUCAUAUGAUAAAACUUUGUUUUUAUUAUCUGCAAAUCAAUAUAUUUUACAACUGAUGUCUAGAUAGGCGAUGUCGUUUUUUGACAAUAAAGCGUUUUUAUUAUAAAUUUCCAUCUAAUUGAGCUUUUGCCAAAGAAAAACUAGAAUGAGACACAUUAUAUUAUAAUUUGGUUCCGUCUGCACAAGGAUUCUUUUUUGAAUAAUAUAUAUAAACAUUUUUAAAAAACAAAGCAUCGAAACCAGAGCUGUUUCCGACGAAAUCAGCUGUUAAAUGUAUUCAUCGAUAUGAGUCAUAAUAAUUUUGAAUAAAAUAAUAUUUAAGGAAUACGCCUUAAGCUAGCAUAGCACAUUAAGAUACAUAUUUAGUACAAUAAGAAUUAGAAAUAGAUAAUAAAUAAAAAUUUGUAUUAUAAACCGAUUUUUUGGAUUUAAUUUGUGAACAAAUUGAGCCGAUUUCGUCUAAUGUCUUAUUCAAGACUAGAUUCAUUUAUUCUUAAUAUUAUUUUACAGAUUUCACAGUUCAGAUUGUUUCAUAAUAGAAACCUUUAUCCGUAGGGGAGAUUGGGUAACAAUGAGACAAGGGUAAUAAUGAGACGCACCCCAUAUUAUAGUUAAUUUUUAUAUUUCACAGUUGGCACUACAUGUACAUGUUGGUAAUCAUAACAGUUCACCGUGGUGAAAUUUCGCGCUGAAAGUAAAUAUUCACAGUUUACUAAGUGACGUUUUAUGAGCAUUCGAGGUUGAACAACUUUCGUGACAUUAAAGUGUACUAGAGAGUAGUGUUUGAUGACGUUCCAAGACCCUGAUUAUUCGUAACUUCAAUUGCAAUAUUUACUUAUAAUGAACUAUUUUGUUUUCCAGAAGGCCCAAAAAUGCAUAGAAACCCUCCACGAAGAACUAAUCGGUGAAUCUUUUUAGGGGAUGUAAUGAAGAGGCUUUACUAAAUGGUCACAGUGAAAGGUCCGUGGCAAAAGAAAAAAGAUUGAGUUUUAAAAUUGCAAAAUAGAAUGUUAAUAAUAUUUUCAUGUAAAAAUUGUAAUAACAUGAUUGUAUUUUCUUAUUUCAAAUACGUAAAGAAAACCAAAGAAAAUGGAAAUUAAAUAAUUAGAUAUACGCCCAACUAUGUCAAUAUAAUUUUUAGUGAGGAGCAAAAAACGACUUUGGCAAACUAUUUGAUUAAAUGUUUAAAUGUUUUCGGCACUCUGUAAGACUUCUUGCUAACGAUAUGGCAACUAUAAAUAAAUUGAACACUCUUGUGUCUUGGGAGGUGUAUCAGACUGCAGGCAAAGAAUAGAUGAUGCGACGGAAUCUAAAUAUUCCAUUAAGAACUGCAGAAAGGUGUAGUUUGGCAUGGGCUACAUUUUUGAAUCAAUAUAAUGUCAAUUCUAUUUUUGAUAAUUCACAUAACGUAAUAAGAGAAAUUUGCCAAUGGAAUUAGAAUAUAUAAUUUAGAUGAGACUACGAGAGUGAUGGUUCAGAAAUAACCAAAAGUUUUGGCACAAAAAGGAACAAAGCAAGUUAUUAAGGUCACCUGAGGUCAAAAAUGGUUGUUGGUAACAAGUGUUUCUGAGAAUUAUUUACAAGAUCUCUGAUGCAGCAUCUGGAAGGAUGAAUGCAACUUUAUAUAUUAUAUAUAAUGGAGCAUUUUAUCCAUCAUACUUGCAGCUCCAAAGACAAUCCUAUCUUAUUUUUCUAUGAUAAUCAUGAGCGUCACUUAUCAAUGGAUGUAUUAAAUCUCGCAAAAGAAAACGGUGCCACAAUAGUAACAUUUCCACCUGACGCAACCAACAAAUCACAAUCUUUGGACGUCGGUUAGGUUAGGUUAGGUCUAAAUAUGAAUUUAGAAAAUGUGUUGGUCAAUGGUCAAUGGUCAAUGGUCAAUUUACAUCGCCAGAAGACUUCCGUGGCUUUUUCCAAGCCGAGAAAUUCGCUAUAAUGGAAUGCGGACGCGCAAUACUCAAUCGAAGCCAUAGGAAAAGAGUAAUCUCAAUCUGCUCUGACAGUAGAGCUACCAUAUAAGCUACAACGGCUAUAAUUUCAAUCUGCUCAGAUAGCAUAGUUGCAAUACAAGCCAUAAUGAAAAGAUGUGCUCUAAGCUAGUGCUGCAGUGUAAAAGAUUUCUACAGAAUCUGGUGAGUGAUGGCUGCAAGAUCCAGCUCGUUUCGAUGCCUCGCCACUCGAGAAACAAAGGCAAUGCCGAAGUGGACUCACUUGCCAGACUCGGAUCAGCGAAUUCACCUAUGGGUCCAGAAUACAUUAUCAAUGUAACUAAAAGUCUGUUUGCAAGGCGGGCUCAGCGGAGAUGGAUAGAUACAAGCGAAGAGCAUGGCACCAUGGGCAUAACGGAUGAUCAGGAGUGCCUCUGGUGCAUGGAUGAGGAUGAAACUACAGCCCACGUCAUCUGUAAGUACCCGAAAUUCACACGAGCGUGGUUCAAACACUUGGGCAACCCUGACAGUUUGUCUAAUGACAUCAAAAGGUUCAAGUCAAAGAAAAGUGAACCAAAAAGAAAAAACAAAAAAGAAGUAGCAUGAUACCAACGGACACACCAGAUUAAGCCGAGCUAGAAGAAAAACAUUGUAAUAAAAAAACCGCAACAACAAAAAAAGAACAGUUAAACGAAAAAUUAAUAACAGCAAUGAUGAAGAGGGAGAGUGACAAUGGGAUGACUCUUCAGACUAUAAUAUUGAGAUGGAAUCAGACCCAAUGCAUUUUAAGGAGUUAGAACGGAGUCCAGAGGUGGAAGACUACACUCUCGUAGAAUUUGUAACAAAACAACAAAAAUCUAAAAUUAUUUACUAUGUUGGAAAACUGUCGUCCUUUACCGCGAAUAAAAUGUUUUAAUUCCUUUUUAAGAAGAAGUGAAGAAGUUAAAAAUAAAUUUUAUAUUCCACCAGUUCCUGAUACAUCUGACCUUUCCAAAAAUGACAUUACUUCCCCCGGGAAAUUAUGGUCAUACGAAAUGGCAAAAUUCUGAUUUUUCCUUUGAAAUUGAUUUUGCUUUAACAAUGGGGUACCAAUGAGACUAAUGCUCUUCCAACGUGCAGAGUGAUUAACUACCUAACUAACUAAGAAAUACUGCCAAUCAAUAUGAAAAUUCAACAAAAAAGCGUCUCAUUGUUACCCACUCUCCCCUACAUUUCUUUUAAUUGAGUGCAAUAUAUAUUUUAAAUUACAAUAAUAUUUUUGAUGACAUUUCAAAACGUGAAUUCAAAUUAGGAAAUAAUAUAUUCAUAACAAAAUACACUUAGUCUACAAAUGAUAUGUUUACAUUGAAUUUAUUUCAUAUUGACAUAUGAAUGAUGUGAUAUUUCGAUGAUAUUUUAUACUAGGCGUCAAUUUAAAAACGUACCAAUAUCUGUUUUAAAGCAAAUUGAAAAAUAUGAAUAUCCGCAUUACACUAAUUUUUAAGGGCGCCAGCUCCUUCAGUUCAAUUACAUGAAUCCUCUAGACAAUUCCGAUAAUCUCAAAUAAAAUAGUGGUAACCUGAAAAAAAUCUUUUUAGUUUAUUUAAGCAAUCGAGAACUUAGUUUCAGAAUUUCCCAUAUUUUAAAUAUACUGAUGCAUUUUUAUUGCAUCCGUGAAUCCAUAUAAUUUUAUUUUUGGUUUCACACAAUAACGAGGGAAAUAUUUAGCUAUAUAAUGCUAUAUAUGUAUUUCAAGUGCAUAAUUUGGGAUCAUUUCAAUAUUAUUGCAAAUCAUGUAUCGUUUUGCAUUUUUUUAAGAAGCCGUUGGACCUUGACAUUAGUGAAGGGCUCAGCGAUCACCCGUCUCAUGAGCACUAAGAGGGGACUUAUGCAUAGGACGACUCAUUUUCACAUGCUCAAUCCAAGCUAGAAGCUAUCGAAGGAUGAACGGUACCUAAGCCUACAUUAGAUGUCGCGAAUGAUGCUUGCGCAAAAUUCCGCAGUGCAUUAUCCUUAUUGUGCUCUGUUGCAGUUGACUUUUAUUCUCGAAAUAUUCCUCAGAACGCCAUGGAUAAGAAUAAUAAGAAAAAGGCGCAUAGAUACCUGUUAUCCCAUCAAUUGCGCUACAAGAGCAGGGACCGCGACAAAUCCUUCUCCUAAAGCAUCAUCACCGGUGCUUUUGAUAAGGCUCAGCAACAUUAGUGGUACGGGGAAGAAGAGGAGAAUGGUUAUCGAAACGAUUCAGUGCAUAAUAAUGUUGCGUUCCUUCAACCAAGGCUUCCAACCCGGAGACCCAAUUAAAAUCUCCAAGAGGCCAAGAACCCCUGAUGCGACACCCAUAGAUCAGUGGGUUAGCCCCAAAACGCUUAAAACUUUACUUAAAGUUGUUGGUUAAGUGAAGUCGGCAGUAUCAAUCGAAUCUGCAGCUGGCCGUGAGUCGAUUGGGACAACCCGACAUUGGCUUCACGGAAGAGUAGCUGCCGUGGUGACUUAAGCAAUCAUGCGGUCCCCACCCGAAAGAUGAACCAAUCUCAAACCUUAUACUAGCAAGGUAAUAACAUUUUUACAAGUGCAUCUCCAGCACGGAAAGGCUGAGAACUGGUCUAGUCAGUGGUACACUACAUCACUGUGUACACUGUGAUAACCUGCGCGUUUAGAUUUUUACCGGGAACGUGUCAUGCUUCACACUUCCAGGUUUAUGUAUUAUAGACCUAGUAGUGGUCAAGAUAUUCAUGGCAGGGUGAGGUGCUUGGGGACGCCCGAUAAACUGCUUCAGAGAGCAGUAGACUGCUACACAGAUGGCUACACGGAUAAAUGGCUUGGCCAGAGCAGGCUUCUGCAGAGGACACAUGUGGAACACGCUAUAGAUAUAGCUAUAGCCUUAAUGUCUGAAAGGGCUUAUUCUAGGCUAGUGCUGGAGUGCAAGAAAGUCCUACAAAAUCUGGUGAUCUAGCUCGUUUAGGUACUCGAUCAUUCGAGCAAUAAGAGUAACGAUGAAAUGAACUUGCCAGACUGGGAAUAGAACCCAUUAUUGAUCUAAGUAAAGGUGUCGCUUAUGCUCUCGCUCAACAGUUUGUUUGCAAGUCUGGCUCAGCGGAGAUGGAUUUAGAAACAAAAGCAUGGCACCAUAAGCAUAACGGAUGAUCAGGAGUGCCUCUGGUGCAUGAAUGAGGAUGAAACUACAGCCCACGUCAUCUGUAAGUCCCCGGAAUUUACAAGUGCGCGGUUCAAACACUUGGGCAAGACUCACAGCUUAUCUAAUGACAUCAAAAGGUUCGAGCCAAAGCGCCUCGUCGGUUUCUCAACGGAGAACGACCUUUGGUAUUGUCAAGUGGGGCACGACUGGCCUAUCAUAAGGUGUAUGUACUUAACGGUCCUUGGCCGCCCACAACCCUAAUAUGAGCUAUGAACCAAUCAACUCGACAAAAUCUUUUUUCUUUCAGGAUCUAUUAUGUUGAAAAAUGGUGAUUGAAUGAAUAUUUGACUGACUUUUGGUUUUUUUGUAUACUUUAAAUGGUCCUCACUGCGAGGAAGUCUUGAAGCGACUGACUGACUCGUGACUGUAUUUCGUCUAUAUCUAAUAAUCUUAUUAACUUUUUCGUGACUAAAAGUCUGUUUCAAUUUAUCGCUUUUGUUGUUUUUUUAGCUAAAGAGCAACCUCAUGGAAUAAUCAUUUUUUCAAGUAUCGUUGACAACAGAUUUUAUUUUCAGAAAUUUAUUUAGAGUCAAUUUUGCAGCAUUACAGAAAUUACAAUUUUUCCACUGAUAACCUUCAUAUUUGCCUUUGAAUAUGUUUUUCUUCGACUAGUCGUUUGUUUUAUAUUGUCUCGAUAAUUUUCUGAUAUUUUUUAAUUAUGUUUUAGUUAAGCAAAGCCUGUAUAGAGAUAUGUUUGUUAAUGUUAAUCUCGUUGUUUUAGUCACGAGUGUUGUUGUGGUAUUUUUAAAAAGGUAAUUAAAUAAUCUAUGGAAUGUGAUAUCAAUCAACCCCCAUUUCUAUUUAAGAUUGUAGAGGUUGUGUCCGCCGCAGCUUGAGAGUUGAAAAAUUCAGUUGAGCUACUGCCGUUUAUAUAUAAUUAAAUCUUUUAUAGGGACCGAAAUUUUUAAAUUGACACCAUGUAUAGGAAAAUAUAUUCAAGCAAUUGAUCAUCAAAAGUGUUUCAUCCUCACCAGAUUAACAAUAUCAACUAUUUGAAACACAAAUUAGCUUAAACACUUAAAAACCAUCAACUAUCAUCACUGAAAAUCUAGGUAAUUGAACAUUUUUUCAUCGUCUCAAUACUAUAGGAGGGACAGGACAGGAGAGGACAGGAGCUUUUGUAAGCAACGACCAAUAUUGCCAAUUGAUAUAGUAAAUUUUUUCCUCUUUUUUCAAAUCAAUAUAUUAUGAGUAAAAAUUCCAAAGAAUGAGACUAAAGUGGUCAAAAGAAUAAAUGGUCUAUGAAAAAAAAAUUAUUUGACAUGAUAAAGGUCUAUAACUUAAUUCAAACGUUUUGAUAAGAGAUGACGUAACUUGUAUAAUAUUACUACUAAUAAUUUUUUUCACUCAAAUAUGUCGAACAUUGUUUCCGAAAAAGUGUUUUUGUGGGGAGUUCUUCGUCAUUACUUUAAUAUGAAGAAAAAUACUGCCGAAAGUCGUCGUAUUUUGGUGGAACUUUAUGGUAAACAUGCUCUAGCUGAACGAACGUGCCAAAAGUGGUUUGCAUGAUUUAAAAGUGGAGAUUUUGGCUUGGAAGACGGUGAACGUCCUGGGCAGCGAAAAAAGUUUGAAGAUGAAGAACUGGAAGCAUUACUCUAUGAAGAUUGUUGCCAAACACAAGAAGAGCUCGCAGAAUCUUUGGAUGUCACUCAAGCAGCAAUUUCAAAACGUUUAAAAGUAGCUGGAUAUAUUCAAAAGCAAGGACACAUGAACCCAAGCCGAGAUACGUCGAAAGGCGGUUUUGCAUGUCCGAAAUCUGGCCAACAAGUCAAUUAAACGGCAAAGCCGAAUAUCGCGAAGGUAAUGCUCUGUAUUUGGUGGGAUCAGAAGGGUGUGCUGUAUUAUAAACUGCUAAAUCCGGCCGAAAUCAUCAAUGGAGAACGCUACCGAACACAAUUAAUCCGUUUGAAGAGAGCAGUAGCCGAAAAACGCACGGAAUAUGCGAUUAGACACAAGGCAAUAAUUUUCCAUCGUGACAACGCUCGGCCACACAUUGCUAUUCCGUUUAAGAAAUAUAUGGAAAACUUUGACUCUGCCUCUUUUGACUACCAUUUGUUCCGGUCGAUGCAGAACACCCUCACUGGAAAACGGUUCACAUCAGAGCAAGGUAUCAAAGAUUGGCUCGAUUGAUUCUUGGUGCAGUUCUUUUGGGAUGGGAUUCUCAAAUUGCUAGAAAGAUGGGAAAAGGUCAGAGCUGAGGCUAUUCUUAGAAUAAUACUAUUGUACAUUUUUUUU